GGAUGUUGCUUAGUGGUAGAGCAUGUGCUUAGUAUACAUGAGGCCCUAGGUUCAAUUCACAGCACCA
This 67-nucleotide transfer RNA is filed under the name Marmota monax (woodchuck). Its description in RNAcentral is "tRNA.Thr". Lineage: Eukaryota; Metazoa; Chordata; Mammalia; Rodentia; Sciuridae. The record is from RNAcentral.